This 2120-nucleotide long non-coding RNA is filed under the name Homo sapiens (human). RNAcentral's name for it is "HSALNT0348409". Lineage: Eukaryota; Metazoa; Chordata; Mammalia; Primates; Hominidae. The record is from RNAcentral.
AAGGGAUCACUAUAUUUGUUCUCACCAUGGAAGUGAAACCAGGACAAGUGGUAAUCCUGUUUUCCUGUUUAUGAAAUAUCUCACUUCCUUAGAUUCUUUUUGAGUUUUAUGGCUAUCUAUAGACGUGGAAAUUGAGCUGAAGCCAAACAGAUCUGGCCUUAUUUCCCAUGGGCCUGUGCACCACCAAUUUGGAUCUGAGAUCAGACAUAACCUUGCCAUAAGCAGCAAAGGGCUUGGUGAACCCUCAAAAAGGCUGUCAAACACCCAGAGGCCUUGGGGAUCAGGAAGGAGCUAUCAUGUGGUCUUUCAUCUAAGAGAGAAUUGUCCUGCCUGAUGGGCUUCAAACCACCAGAACAUCAGUUCUUCCUGGUUCUGCAGUAGUCUCCAACCUUCAGACUCAAACUUCAGCACCUGUUCUUCAGAUUUUGGACUUGCAGCCUCUAUAAUCACAUGAGCCAAUUCCUUAUAUAAAUUUAUUUAUACAUGCUGACAGUUGGUUCUGUUUCUCUGGAUAACCCUGACUGUUAGAGCUGUUACCUCAAAUUUGUUUUCUUAUAUUUGGUGUCUGUUUUGGAGUACUUACAAGUGCUUAAAAUGUUCUUUUUCAAUUAGGUCCUGUAGAACAUAGCUGCGCCUGGAAUUGAAUGAUCGUGUUUUCCGUGCAGAGCUAUCUGCCUUUGGACAGGAGGAGAACUCUCAGCACCAUUCCCUUUCCACGGGAGCUUCUUUUUUCUCAUUCUUUUUCUUGCCUCCCUCAACUCCCAUCCUCUGUUCUGGGAGAAGGUGAAGCUGGCCUGACAGGCCUGAGGGAAGCCGGACGGAGGCACACUUGCCAGCUUUUAGUUGAGGGAGGCACCGCAGCAAGGCUCUCCAGUCCCUCCUUCCCUGGGAGCACCAGCUCUGAUUCUAGUGGGCAGCUGCAGCUAAGACGAAGACAAAUGAAUCCAGAGACUUCUCUCGAGCUAUGAGCCUGAGCCAAAGGCACAGCCCAGCUGUCCAGAGAGCUUUGUGACAGAACAUGGGGGGCCAGCUGACAGGAACCGAGGCACUUUUAAAUUUAGCACUUGUCCUCGCCCUUUCGGUUCACGAUUUCUUGGAAGUUUCAUUUGGAAAAAGAGGUGAGGGACAGAAGUAGAAGUUGGGAAUUCUAGAUCCCUUGAUUCUAGAAUAUUCUAAGAUCUUCCAAACUAACCCUGAUUCCUAAAAACAGAAUAGGACAAUCUUGUUUUCGGUAUUGAGAAUAGCAAAUAUAGAAAUCCCUUAAUUCUUUGACUUAGCUUAGCAGGUGCAAUUAGUUCUAUCCCUAAGCCUUCUUACCAGAAAAUUUUCUAGUGUAAAAUGAUUGGAUGGGAUACCAAUUGGGAUGGGUGUGGUAAUAGUAAAACCAUAUUCUUUAAUAACUUUUUCUUAUUUGUUUUCCUGGAAUUUUGGUUGGCAUUUUUUAAUGAAUUACAUGCUUAUUUUUAAAAAUUAUUAUGAUGGAGAAUUUUUGUUAGGCAGAAUUUCAAAUCUGUCAUCUGCUGUUGACUCUUACUUUCACUACAAAUUUACGAAGGUAGAGAGACCCAGUUCUUACUUAAGUUAUAUCUAACAUAAAAAUACAAUUCUGUCCCAAUCUGUUCAUUUAAAGGGUAAAUUUAUAGCAUCUGUUCAACUUUAUAUGCUAUCUCAAAAUUGUCAACAUUUUAAGCAAGGUGCUACCUAAUUUUAAUGGGUGCACAAGAGGGAAAAGUGGGUCAUUGACUUCAAAGGCGAAACUAUAAGCUAUUAAUGGGCUACGUUGUGCUGAAUUACAAUCUCUUUUCUUGUUUCAAGUUAAAAUUUUUAAGUGGCCACAUGUUUGGCAUUGUAAUUGAUACCACAAUGCUGCUGUUCCUUGACUCAUUCAUUCUCAAAUGUAUAUAUAUAUAUAUUCUUAGUUCACAAAUUUCUAUUUCUUUUACACAAGUUGCUAUUUCUUGUAGUGUUCAUGAACUGGGUAUGCUGUCCUUUGUAAUGAAAGACUACAGACUGCCAUGAAUAGUACCUUGGCUUCUUUUUUUACAGUGUGGAAUGAGAGCAUUUAUUAUUGUUGCAUUAUUGUAUUUUUGAAUAAAAAUCCCUAUUCCCACUGUACCAAA